UACGUAGGUGGCAAGCGUUGUCCGGAUUUAUUGGGCGUAAAGGGAGCGCAGGCGGUGACUUAAGUCUGAUGUGAAAGCCCACGGCUCAACCGUGGAAGGUCAUUGGAAACUGGGUCACUUGAAUAUAGAAGAGGAAAGUGGAAUUCCAUGUGUAGCGGUGAAAUGCGUAGAUAUAUGGAGGAACACCAGUGGCGAAGGCGACUUUCUGGCCAGUUACUGACGCUCAUGCGCGAAAGCUGGAGUAGCGAACCGGAUUAGAUA
Molecule: ribosomal RNA, 261 nt
Filed under: uncultured prokaryote
Description: partial 16S ribosomal RNA
Rfam family: Bacterial small subunit ribosomal RNA
Source: RNAcentral